UGACUCCUACGGGGAGGCAGCAGUGGGGGAAUAUUGCACAAUGGGCGCAAGCCUGAUGCAGCCAUGCCGCGUGUGUGAAGAAGGCCUUCGGGUUGUAAAGCACUUUCAGUCGUGAGGAAGGUAGUGUAGUUAAUAGCUGCAUUAUUUGACGUUAGCGACAGAAGAAGCACCGGCUAACUCCGUGCCAGCAGCCGCGGUAAUACGGAGGGUGCGAGCGUUAAUCGGAAUUACUGGGCGUAAAGCGCAUGCAGGUGGUUUGUUAAGUCAGAUGUGAAAGACCCGGGGCUCAACCUCGGAAUUGCAUUUGAAACUGGCAGACUAGAGUACUGUAGAGGGGGGUAGGAAUUUCAGGUGUAGCGGUGAAAUGCGUAGAGAUCUGAAGGAAUACCGGUGGCGAAGGCGGCCCCCUGGACAGAUACUGACACUCAGAUGCGAAAGCGUGGGGAGCAAACAGGAUUAGAUACCCUGGUAG
Molecule: ribosomal RNA, 472 nt
Filed under: uncultured bacterium
Lineage: Bacteria
Description: bacterial SSU rRNA
Rfam family: Bacterial small subunit ribosomal RNA
Source: RNAcentral